ACAUCUAAGUACCCCGAGGAAAAGAAAUCAACCGAGAUUCCCUCAGUAGCGGCGAGCGAACGGGGAUUAGCCCUUAAGCAUCUUGGAAGUUAGUGGAACGGUCCUGGAAAGGCCGGCGAUACAGGGUGAUAGCCCCGUACACGAAAACAACCUUGAUGUGAAAUCGAGUAGGGCGGGACACGUGACAUCCUGUCUGAAUAUGGGGGGACCAUCCUCCAAGGCUAAAUACUCCUGACUGACCGAUAGUGAACCAGUACCGUGAGGGAAAGGCGAAAAGAACCCCUGUGAGGGGAGUGAAAUAGAACCUGAAACCGUGUACGUACAAGCAGUGGGAGCCCUUCGGGGUGACUGCGUACCUUUUGUAUAAUGGGUCAGCGACUUACAUUUUGUAGCGAGGUUAACCGUAUAGGGGAGCCGUAGGGAAACCGAGUCUUAACUGGGCGUCUAGUUGCAAGGUGUAGACCCGAAACCGGGUGAUCUAGCCAUGGGCAGGUUGAAGGUUGAGUAACAUCAACUGGAGGACCGAACCCACUAACGUUGCAAAGUUAGGGGAUGACCUGUGGCUGGGGGUGAAAGGCCAAUCAAACUCGGAGAUAGCUGGUUCUCCCCGAAAGCUAUUUAGGUAGCGCCUCGGACGAAUACUACUGGGGGUAGAGCACUGUUUGGGCUAGGGGGUCAUCCCGACUUACCAACCCCAUGCAAACUCCGAAUACCAGUAAGUAAUAUCCGGGAGACACACGGCGGGUGCUAACGUCCGUCGUGAAGAGGGAAACAACCCAGACCGCCGGCUAAGGUCCCAAAGUUCUGGUUAAGUGGGAAACGAUGUGGGAAGGCUCAGACAGCUAGGAUGUUGGCUUAGAAGCAGCCAUCAUUUAAAGAAAGCGUAAUAGCUCACUAGUCGAGUCGGCCUGCGCGGAAGAUGUAACGGGGCUCAAACCAGGCACCGAAGCCGCGGAUUCACGCUAAGCGUGAGUGGUAGGGGAGCGU
This 987-nucleotide ribosomal RNA is filed under the name Aeromonas hydrophila. RNAcentral's name for it is "partial 23S ribosomal RNA". It matches the Rfam family "Bacterial large subunit ribosomal RNA", at positions 198 to 1239 of the family's 2925-position model. The record is from RNAcentral. Lineage: Bacteria; Pseudomonadati; Pseudomonadota; Gammaproteobacteria; Aeromonadales; Aeromonadaceae.